GGAGGGUGCAAGCGUUGUUCGGAAUUACUGGGCGUAAAGCGCGCGUAGGCGGCUAUAUAAGUCAGAUGUGAAAGCCCGCGGCUCAACCGUGGAAGUGCAUUUGAAACUGUAUAGCUUGAGUACUGGAGGGGGUAGUGGAAUUCCCGGUGUAGAGGUGAAAUUCGUAGAUAUCGGGAGGAAUACCGGUGGCGAAGGCGACUACCUGGCCAGAUACUGACGCUGAGGUGCGAAAGCGUGGGGAGCAAACAGGGAUUAGAUACCCUGGUAGUCCACGCCGUAAACGAUGUCAACUAGGUGUUGGAGUGGUUAAUCGCUUCAUUGCCGGAGCUAACGCAUUAAGUUGACCGCCUGGGGAUACGGUCGCAAGAUUA
This 371-nucleotide ribosomal RNA is filed under the name uncultured organism. Its description in RNAcentral is "partial 16S ribosomal RNA". It matches the Rfam family "Bacterial small subunit ribosomal RNA", at positions 527 to 896 of the family's 1533-position model. The record is from RNAcentral.